AACUUUGGCAUUGUGGAAGGACU
RNAcentral lists this non-coding RNA (23 nucleotides) under Cricetulus griseus (Chinese hamster). The record is from RNAcentral. Lineage: Eukaryota; Metazoa; Chordata; Mammalia; Rodentia; Cricetidae.